This 75-nucleotide transfer RNA is filed under the name Deltaproteobacteria bacterium. RNAcentral describes it as "tRNA-Gln". It matches the Rfam family "tRNA". From Rfam's summary of the family: Transfer RNA (tRNA) molecules are approximately 80 nucleotides in length. The record is from RNAcentral. Lineage: Bacteria; Pseudomonadati; Myxococcota; Myxococcia.
UUGGGGAUCGUCUAAUUGGUAGGACAUCAGAUUCUGAAUCUGAGAAUCCAGGUUCGACUCCUGGUCCCUAAGCCA